Molecule: non-coding RNA, 275 nt
Organism: Pelobates cultripes (western spadefoot toad)
Lineage: Eukaryota; Metazoa; Chordata; Amphibia; Anura; Pelobatidae
Source: the annotation of a GenBank genome assembly
UACACUAUGUACUAUACUCUAUGCCCUAUGCACUAUACAAUAUAGAUAUACACUAUGUACUACACACUAUACACUAUGUAUUAUACACUAUGCAGUCUUGCACAUUAUAGAUUGUUUGCCAGGUCUACUGUGCCCAACAAGUCUGCAAUUAGCUGAGCGUGCCAGAAGUAGGCCAUAGCAGCCAUGAUUCCAAACGUUCAAAAAAAAUGCUACUUUGGCAAAAUUGAGCAAAAUUCACAAAACGUUGAUGCAAAAGUCACGGCCAAACACCUCCA